AUGAUGAUAUUCAAACACUGUUA
RNAcentral lists this non-coding RNA (23 nucleotides) under Cricetulus griseus (Chinese hamster). Lineage: Eukaryota; Metazoa; Chordata; Mammalia; Rodentia; Cricetidae. The record is from RNAcentral.